UGAAUACGAGAUGCUACGGCAUUGAAGCAGUGUAUGUCAGACUUCCAAGAAAAGCUCGCAAUGUCAUAAACAAUAAAUGCCUGUACCAUAACCGACACAGGUGGGUAGGUAGAGUAUACUAAGGGGCGCGAGAUAACUCUCUCUAAGGAACUCGGCAAAAUGACUCCGUAACUUCGGGAGAAGGAGUGCCUUAUUUUAUAAGGUUGCAAUAACAAGAUCCAAGCAACUGUUUACCAAAAACACAGGUCUCCGCUAAGUCGAAAGACGAUGUAUGGGGGCUGACGCCUGCCCAGUGCCAGAAGGUUAAAGAAGUUGGUUAGCUUCGGCGAAGCUGAUGACUGAAGCCCUGGUGAACGGCGGCCGUAACUAUAACGGUCCUAAGGUAGCGAAAUUCCUUGUCGGGUAAGUUCCGACCCGCACGAAAGGCGUAAUGAUUUGGAUACUGUCUCGGAGAGGGGCUCGGUGAAAUAGACUUGUCUGUGAAGAUGCGGACUACCUGCACCUGGACAGAAAGACCCUAUGAAGCUUUACUGUAACUUGAGAUUGAAAUUGGACUUUAUUUGCGCAGUAUAGGUGGGAGACGUUGAGAAUAUUCUUGCGGGAAUAUUGGAGUCAUCAGUGAGAUACCACUCUUGUAAUGUUAGAUUUCUAACUUUGUAUCAUUAUCUGGUCAAAGGACAGUUUCAGGCGGGCAGUUUGACUGGGGCGGUCGCCUCCUAAACGGUAACGGAGGCGCACAAAGGUUUCCUCUGAACGUGUAGAAAUCGUAUCUAGAGUGUAAAGGCAUAAGGAAGCUUGACUGUGAGACCUACAAGUCGAGCAGGGACGAAAGUCGGUCUUAGUGAUCUGACGGUGCUGAGUGGAAAGGCCGUCACUCAACGGAUAAAAGUUACUCUAAGGAUAACAGGCUGAUCUCCCCCAAGAGUUCACAUCGACGGGGAGGUUUGGCACCUCGAUGUCGGCUCAUCGCAUCCUGGGGCGGUAGUACGUCCCAAGGGUUGGGCUGUUCGCCCAUGAAAGCGGUACGCGAGCUGGGUUCAGAACGUCGUGAGACAGUUCGGUCCAUAUCCGGUGUAGGCGUUAGAAUAUUGAGAGGAGCCUUCUUUAGUACGAGAGGACCGAGAAGGACAUACCUCUGGUGUACCAGUUAUCGUGCCAACGGUAAACGCUGGGUAGCUAUGUAUGGAGUGGAUAACCGCUGAAAGCAUCUAAGUGGGAAGCCCACCUCAAGAUAAG
This 1236-nucleotide ribosomal RNA is filed under the name metagenome. Its description in RNAcentral is "bacterial LSU rRNA". It matches the Rfam family "Bacterial large subunit ribosomal RNA", at positions 1564 to 2808 of the family's 2925-position model. The record is from RNAcentral.